AUGGACCAGCUGGUGAAUUUCAUCAUCCGCCCGCCCAGAGCUGACUACAGUCCAGACGAUGAUCUACUGGAGCAGGAGUUUAUGCUCAAGGGAAGAUGGUUUCAGAGGAAGGACCUGGAGGUAGUAAAUAGCCAGGGCAAGAAGUUGCAGUGUAGCCACUACAUACCUGCUGUGAUUCCUGAAGGAACAGCACUUCCUUGUGUUAUAUACUGUCAUGGAAACAGUGGAUGCAGAGCUGAUGCUAGUGAAGCCGCCAUUAUUCUUCUACCAUCAAAUAUUACAGUCUUUACACUGGACUUUUCAGGGUCUGGUCUCUCUGAAGGAGAGCAUGUCACCUUGGGCUGGAAUGAAAAAGAAGAUCUGAAAGCUGUUGUUAAUUAUUUGCGGACAGAUAGGAACAUAUCUUGCAUUGCUCUGUGGGGUCGCUCAAUGGGUGCGGUCACAAGUCUAAUGUAUGGAGCGGAGGAUCCAUCAAUUGCUGGAAUGGUUCUUGAUAGUCCAUUCUCAAACCUUGUUGACUUGAUGAUGGAACUAGUUGAUACCUACAAAUACCCCUUGCCAAAAUUCACGGUAAAACUUGCAAUACAGCACAUGCGGAAGAUUGUCAAGAAAAAAGCCGGCUUUGACAUCAUGGAUCUUGAUACCAUUCAGGUAGCAAAGCGAUGUUUUGUUCCUGCUUUGUUUGGACAUGCAACCGAGGAUGAUUUUAUACUCCCGCAUCAUUCAGACAAAAUUUGUGAAGCAUAUGUUGGAGACAAAAACAUUAUAAAAUUUGAUGGGGACCACAAUUCACCCCGACCACAAUUUUACUUUGACUCGAUCACAAUAUUUUUUCAUAAUGUGCUGAACCCACCUGAUGUCCCUGACGAUCAUUAUUUCCUGACACCACAUGGCAGCCUUGGUCAGGGUCACUGGGAUACAGAACAUGAUAUAGAGUAUAGAAUUGCUCAAUCACCAACAGCCCCUUCAACUACGACAGAAGAUGCCAUUGCACAGUUGCGUUCUAGAAGGCUCAUGAGCAGAAUGGAGGUCCCAUCUGGAACCGCCACAGAAGGCAGGGCCGACAGAACUGAGGUAUUGGAUAGUGGCCCCUUCUCAUCUAGUGCAUCUACUGCGACUCCUCCGAAUGGCCGUAAUGGAAGGAUGCUCACUCCAACCUCUGAUGAUGGCGAGUAUGUGGAGUAUUCAUUUGAUAGCGUAUCAGAUAUGCCUUACACUGAGGAAGAUGAAGAUAGAAUGCUGAUGCAAGCAAUUCUCGAGUCCCUGAAGGAUUUAGACAAGUCAAAUACAAAGAACACUCAAUCAGCUGUAUCUGAUGUUGCUUCCAAAGAAAAUAGUGUAGCACCUGAUGUAGUGGCAUUGGAGACAGAUGCAUCCUCCAUCUCUGUGCGUGGUGCUGAUGCUCCUGGUAAGGAUGUAGCAGCCUGUAACAGUGUAACAAAGACGUCUAGUGUGCAAAGUGCAGAUCGCUGCACUGUAAAUGAUGCUGUUUCUGCUAAUGUUUCUGGCGCAUCAGAAUCCAACGGCUCAACUCAGGUCAUCAAUGGAAAAUCUGGCUCGGCAGAAUCCCAGAAACCCAUCCAGAACCCCAAUGGAGAGGAUGGCACAAGAGCAACACUUGUAGUCCAGAAGAGCCGGACUGGCAGCCUGAUUGAUGGAUUGACACAAAAAUGGGGUUCCUUCUUCAAGAACAAUGACUGA
RNAcentral lists this ribosomal RNA (1701 nucleotides) under Triticum aestivum (bread wheat). RNAcentral describes it as "partial small subunit ribosomal RNA". Lineage: Eukaryota; Viridiplantae; Streptophyta; Magnoliopsida; Poales; Poaceae. The record is from RNAcentral.